UGCCUAACACAUGCAAGUCGAACGCUCCAGCAAUGGAGAGUGGCAGACGGGUGAGUAUCGCGUGGGAACCACCCUUUGGUUCGGAAUAGCCCAGGGAAACUUGGGGUACUACCGGAUAAGCCCUUCGGGGGAAAGAUUUAUCGCCAAUGGAUGGGCCCGCGUCGGAUUAGCUAGUUGGUGGGGUAACCUCGCACCAACGCGACUAUUCGUUGCUGGUCUGAAUAGGAAGAAAAGAAAAUAAGAGACUGACGUUUAAGACUUUUUAUUCUCACCGUAACUCCCCACAAUAUUAUAUACUAUAUUUUUGUUGACAAAGCAAAAUGGACUAAGGCUACAAUAAUUGUAAAUUCAAUCUGGAUAUUACAUUCAAUGUGAAAUUACCUAUCUAUCGUUGCAUACUUAAGCUGUAGGAGAACAGGGCAGAAAGAAAUCAUACCCUAUGAAUCUCGCCUUUUAUAAAUACUUUUAUCUAGUAUACUAAAGAUUAUCUCAUCUAAUUGUCACACUACUACACUUCCACUAUUUGAAGUGUGUUUCUUGUAUGAUAAGAAUAAGAGGAGACUAAGGGACACAAAAUGUAAUACUAGCUAUUAGCUUCGUCAGCUUAUAACUUAUCAGUUUAUAGGUAUCAAUUGCAAUAUAUGCAUUCACUACUGUUCCUACACAUAAUCCUCAAUACAAUGUUUGUAAGAGAGGUAGAGCGUACAACUCUGUGCCCCUCUCCUCUAUCUAACUUAGCCACCC
This 744-nucleotide unclassified non-coding RNA is filed under the name uncultured bacterium. RNAcentral's name for it is "partial contains 16S ribosomal RNA and 16S-23S ribosomal RNA intergenic spacer region". The stretch from base 3 to 356 matches the Rfam family "Bacterial small subunit ribosomal RNA", at positions 47 to 391 of the family's 1533-position model. The record is from RNAcentral.